GCUCGGUUAGCUCAGUCGGUAGAGCAUGAGACUCUUAUUCUCAGGGUUGUGGGUUUGAGUCUCCCGUUAGGCG
RNAcentral lists this transfer RNA (73 nucleotides) under Mus musculus (house mouse). It matches the Rfam family "tRNA". From Rfam's summary of the family: Transfer RNA (tRNA) molecules are approximately 80 nucleotides in length. Their secondary structure includes four short double-helical elements and three loops (D, anti-codon, and T loops). The record is from Rfam by way of RNAcentral. Lineage: Eukaryota; Metazoa; Chordata; Mammalia; Rodentia; Muridae.